AAUAGAUACCCGGGUAGUCCACGCCGUAAACGAUGGAUACUAGGUGUGGGAGGUAUCGAACCCUUCCGUGCCGCAGUAAACGCAAUAAGUAUCCCGCCUGGGGAGUACGGCCGCAAGGUUGAAACUCAAAGGAAUUGACGGGGGCCCGCACAAGCAGCGGAGCAUGUGGUUUAAUUCGAAGCAACGCGAAGAACCUUACCAGAACUUGACAUCUCCUGCAUUACCCGUAAUUGGGGAAGUCCUUCGGGACAGGAAGACGGGUGGUGCAUGGUUGUCGUCAGCUCGUGUCGUGAGAUGUUGGGUUAAGUCCCGCAACGAGCGCAACCCUUAUUGUUAGUUGCCAUCAUUUAGUUGAGCACUCUAAUGAGACUGCCGGGGACAACUCGGAGGAAGGUGGGGAUGACGUCAAAUCAUCAUGCCCCUUAUGUUCUGGGCUACACACGUGCUACAAUGGGCGCAACAACGGGAAGCAAGCUAGUGAUAGUGAGAAAAUCCCUAAAAAUCGCUCUCAGUUCAGAUUGUAGGCUGAAACUCGCCUAC
RNAcentral lists this ribosomal RNA (540 nucleotides) under uncultured bacterium. RNAcentral describes it as "bacterial SSU rRNA". It matches the Rfam family "Bacterial small subunit ribosomal RNA", at positions 777 to 1319 of the family's 1533-position model. The record is from RNAcentral.